This 353-nucleotide unclassified non-coding RNA is filed under the name soil metagenome. RNAcentral's name for it is "partial contains 5.8S ribosomal RNA, internal transcribed spacer 2, and large subunit ribosomal RNA". The stretch from base 1 to 120 matches the Rfam family "5.8S ribosomal RNA", at positions 35 to 154 of the family's 154-position model. The record is from RNAcentral.
GAUGAAGAACGCAGCGAAAUGCGAUAAGUAAUGUGAAUUGCAGAAUUCAGUGAAUCAUCGAAUCUUUGAACGCACAUUGCGCCCGCCAGUAUUCUGGCGGGCAUGCCUGUUCGAGCGUCAUUACAACCCUCAGGCCCCCGGGCCUGGCGUUGGGGAUCGGCGAGGCGCCCCCCGCGGGCACGCGCCGUCCCCCAAAUACAGUGGCGGUCCCGCCGCAGCUUCCAUUGCGUAGUAGCUAACACCUCGCAACUGGAGAGCGGCGCGGCCAUGCCGUAAAACACCCAACUUCUGAAUGUUGACCUUGAAUCAGGUAGGAAUACCCGCUGAACUUAAGCAUAUCAAUAAGCGGAGGA